This 527-nucleotide ribosomal RNA is filed under the name Penicillium coprophilum. RNAcentral's name for it is "eukaryotic LSU rRNA". The stretch from base 175 to 327 matches the Rfam family "5.8S ribosomal RNA". Lineage: Eukaryota; Fungi; Ascomycota; Eurotiomycetes; Eurotiales; Aspergillaceae. The record is from RNAcentral.
ACGGAGCUGAAGACUUUGGGUCACCUCCCACCCAUGUUUAUUUUACCUUGUUGCUUCGGCGGGCCCGCCUUAACUGGCCGCCGGGGGGCUUACGCCCCCGGGCCCGCGCCCGCCGAAGACACCCUCGAACUCUGUCUGAAGAUUGUAGUCUGAGUGAAAAUAUAAAUUAUUUAAAACUUUCAACAACGGAUCUCUUGGUUCCGGCAUCGAUGAAGAACGCAGCGAAAUGCGAUACGUAAUGUGAAUUGCAAAUUCAGUGAAUCAUCGAGUCUUUGAACGCACAUUGCGCCCCCUGGUAUUCCGGGGGGCAUGCCUGUCCGAGCGUCAUUGCUGCCCUCAAGCCCGGCUUGUGUGUUGGGCCCCGUCCUCCGAUUCCGGGGGACGGGCCCAAAAGGCAGCGGCGGCACCGCGUCCGGUCCUCGAGCGUAUGGGGCUUUGUCACCCGCUCUGUAGGCCCGGCCGGCGCUUGCCGAUCAACCCAAAUUUUUAUCCAGGUUGACCUCGGAUCAGGUAGGGAUACCCGCUGA